RNAcentral lists this transfer RNA (59 nucleotides) under Bacillus aerophilus. RNAcentral describes it as "tRNA-Arg". It matches the Rfam family "tRNA", at positions 8 to 63 of the family's 71-position model. Rfam says of the family: Transfer RNA (tRNA) molecules are approximately 80 nucleotides in length. Their secondary structure includes four short double-helical elements and three loops (D, anti-codon, and T loops). Further hydrogen bonds mediate the characteristic L-shaped molecular structure. tRNAs have two regions of fundamental functional importance: the anti-codon, which is responsible for specific mRNA codon recognition, and the 3' end, to which the tRNAs corresponding amino acid is attached (by aminoacyl-tRNA synthetases). tRNAs cope with the degeneracy of the genetic code in two manners: having more than one tRNA (with a specific anti-codon) for a particular amino acid; and 'wobble' base-pairing, i.e. permitting non-standard base-pairing at the 3rd anti-codon position. The record is from RNAcentral. Lineage: Bacteria; Bacillati; Bacillota; Bacilli; Caryophanales; Bacillaceae.
UAGCUAAGCUGGAUAAAGCACCGGUCUUCUAAGCCGUCGAUCGGGAGUUCGAAUCUCUA